AUGGCGGCUGGGGCUCUACUGCUCCGGUGCGGGAGGGGCCGCCAUGCCAGGCCACCUCUCCCAGCAGCUCUCGCUGUGGCUUCAGGAACACGAUUUACUGAACAAGACCGUGACUGAGAUCUGCAUGAACGAAUUCCACACGAGAAUCUUGGGCCUACAGUCACGCGAGGACAACUGCCUCGAGGGAAGACCUCUCAGUUUAAGUUUAGACCUAGAAAUUGCUGACAACCUUUAAACACACAAUAUCUUUAGGAGAGAAAUGUUUAGGGGCAAAUACUAAGCAGUGAAAUCAUACUCUUAAAAAGCCCUCUCAGAGAAGUCUGUCCCAGUAAGCCAUUAUGCUGGAGUCUUGAUAUUCAGAUGACUUAGGGGGGAAAUUAAAAGUAGCAACACUCUGAAAACCCUCAGUAAAGUUCAUUCUUGGUCUUCUUUUCCUAAAUUUGUUUUCAAUUCUAUUAGAUUUAAUCACUAAGCAAGACCAAAAGAGAACUUUAUUUUACAUGACUUUAUUUUACAUUUAAAAUCAUUUUAUGCUUUACUUAAAAAAAAAAAACUCACUGUUUUUAAUAUUCCUAAAAGCAUUUUAACCAAAAUCUUGAUUUAGGAAGACUUAAGACAUUUUGUAUUAUUUUAAAUAUUUCAUUUUCUCAGUAAUUAUUAAAAAUAAGUUCACAAUUAGGGUUUCAAAUGUCCUAAUCAUAUGAUUUGUUCUCAUUUCAUACUUUAUCAAUCCCAUAAUGUACAUACAGAAGUGAAGGCGAUAUGUUACUAUUUCAGACAUAUCAAUAAUCAGCUCUUAAUCUAACUACUAUUUCACUUACUCAGAAAUAGCAUUUAGACACAAAAACCAAUGUUACUUUGUAAAAUAACCUUUGGUUAAUUUACACAAAUCUAACAGCAUGUUGUGUAAGUUUUGAGUAAUACAAGUUGCACUAUCAUUUUAGUUUUUAAUAUAUAUAUGUCAGCAAGGCUGAGGACAGCAUGUAGUUCAUUCUGAAGGAAGUUAUAUAAUAAAAGUGUAGUGCCUUUGAACAUGAAAAACAUCCUGAAGGCCAGGAGUCCUAUGAAGGAACUGAGAGGUAGGAGAGAUUCCAGAGAAUCUCUGCUCAUUUUCAGUAUGUGAAGUGACUAGUUUAAGUCACUUUAUUGAAGACUUUGUGAAGAAAACCGUGUUCCAUAUUGUGCCAUUGAAUGAAGGUACCGCAAGAAUUUAGAUAUUGGUCCGAGGUUACAUAAUGGGUCAUCAAAAAAGAACCUGUCACAUAGGUGGGUUAAUUCCCUUGCCAAGUGGGUCCCAACUUCACUUCCCCAUUUAUAAAAAGAAAAUGUGGCCUGGCCAGUGCCAUUCAGGAUUCUCUGCUAACUGUAAAAUGUGGAUUUUGUUUCUUAGAGUCCAUGUGUAUAUAAAUUUUCAGUUCUUCAAAUCAAAAAUUUUUUGCACAUAACCAUGUCAGUGUAUUACCCUUAGUUUAAAAAUGUACAACUAGAUAAAAUAAAAACUAUUGUUUCUUCAA
Myotis brandtii (Brandt's bat) is the source of this 1514-nucleotide long non-coding RNA. RefSeq lists it as uncharacterized. The record is from RefSeq and is a predicted model, not a curated record. The transcript has 2 exons. NCBI's taxonomy places the organism in Eukaryota, Metazoa, Chordata, Mammalia, Chiroptera, Vespertilionidae.